CCACUCUCCAAGCCUAAGUACUCCUAUGCGACCGAUAGUGAACCAGUACCGUGAGGGAAAGGUGAAAAGCACCCCGACGAGGGGAGUGAAAUAGACCCUGAAACCGAAUGCCUACAAUCAGUGGGAGCUCGAAAGAGUGACCGCGUACCUUUUGUAUAAUGGGUCAGCGACUUAAUCUAGCGAGCGAGCUUAAACCGAUAGGUGUAGGCGGAGCGAAAGCGAGUCUUAAUAGGGCGCUUUAGUCGCUGGGUAUAGACCCGAAACCGGGCGAUCUAUCCAUGGGCAGGUUGAAGGUUGGGUAACACUAACUGGAGGACCGAACCGACUACCGUUGAAAAGUUAGCGGAUGACCUGUGGAUCGGAGUGAAAGGCUAAUCAAGCCCGGAGAUAGCUGGUUCUCCUCGAAAGCUAUUUAGGUAGCGCCUCAUGUAUCACUGUAGGGGGUAGAGCACUGUUUCGGCUAGGGGGUCAUCCCGACUUACCAAACCGAUGCAAACUCCGAAUACCUGGAAGUGCCGAGCAUGGGAGACACACGGCGGGUGCUAACGUCCGUCGUGAAAAGGGAAACAACCCAGACCCACAGCUAAGGUCCCAAAUUUUGUGCUAAGUGGAAAACCAUGUGGAAAGGCACAGACAGCCAGGAGGU
This 646-nucleotide ribosomal RNA is filed under the name Prymnesium parvum. RNAcentral describes it as "partial Bacterial large subunit ribosomal RNA". It matches the Rfam family "Bacterial large subunit ribosomal RNA", at positions 453 to 1101 of the family's 2925-position model. Lineage: Eukaryota; Haptophyta; Prymnesiales; Prymnesiaceae. The record is from RNAcentral.